UAAGACCAAUCGGGUGUUUCGUUUAUUUAUACUUGGGUGUUCGUUGUUUAAUGAAAAAAUGGAUAGUAUGUGAAAGUGCUGAACUGGGCCUUCUUUCUUGGAGUAUUUCAAAAUCGAACUCCGUCAAGAACAAAAUCAGAAGUAUCAGUGUUACUGUUUCGUUAACUUCGUACGAGUAUAUUCGAAAAAAGGAAAAAUGUUGCUUCGGGGAUUGCCAUGGAUGGCGGUUUCCGCUUCCGCACCAUUUCCAUUGCAUUUUUUCACUCCCAUCUCAAAACAACUCACCUUUUCCCCUUUAUCCUUCUGCUCCACCUCCGACCUCCAUCUCACUCAACAACCACAAAUACCGAUUAUGAAACGGAUAAUCGUCAUUCGCAGCUUUUGAAGCCCGGUCUUUAUCUCGUAGGAACACCAAUUGGAAAUCUUGAAGACAUCACCUUCAGAGCUCUUCGUGUGCUAAACUCCGCAGAUAUCAUACUGUCAGAAGACACAAGGCACUCUGGGAAAUUGCUUCAUUACUACAAUAUCAAAACACCCCUGAUGAGUUAUCACAAGUUCAAUGAAGCACAAAGGGAACAGCUUGUGCUCAGGAGGUUGAAACAAGGUGAGAUUGUGGCACUUAUAAGUGACGCUGGAACGCCGGGUAUCAGUGAUCCUGGUAUGGAGUUGGCCAAAUUAUGUGUUAGUGAAAAUGUUCCCGUUGUUCCAAUCCCAGGGCCCUGUGCUUUGGUAUCAGCUCUUUCUGCCUCGGGGUUAUCCACUGAUGAAUUUACAUUUGUUGGUUUUCUUCCAAAACAUUCGGGAUCAAGAAGUAAAAGGCUCACGGCAUCGGCACAGCAAACAGCAACACAAAUAUUUUAUGUUCCUCCUCACAAGCUUUCUCAAUUUCUUGAAGAGGGUUCGUCAAUUUUUGGUGAUACAAGGAGAUGUGUUAUUGCUCGAGAAAUGACCAAGUUUCAUGAAGAGUUUUGGCGUGGUACUCUUGGUGAAGCCAACAAAGUAUUUUCUAUUCGUCAACCAAAGGGAGAACUUACCAUAUUGAUUGAAGGGCAAGCAAAUUCUAAAGUUGAGCCUCCGUCAGACAUCCAACUUGAGAGUGAACUAAGAGAAUUAAUUGAAAAUGGCGAGAGUCUUUCCACGGCUGUCAAAUUGGUUAUUGGAAAAACGUCAGUGAGUAGAAAAACUAUUUACUCGCUUGCGUUAAGAAAGUUUGGGAAGCAACUUGAAGUGGAAGGCGAUUCAAGUUAGUGGCAGAUUCUUCCUGGAGCCAUUAGAGAUGGAGGAGGCUAAAAGGGAUUUUGCAGUGGGUUUAAACUACUCAACAAUGGAAAUGGAGGGUUUUUUGGUUACAAUGAUGACAGACUAUUGCUGUAUGCGGUGGAUUGAUUGACAUACUAAAACAAUGAUCGGGGAUAACAUGAAAGAUGAUCGAUCGUACACAAAGUGAACCACAUUUGUAGUUAACAUUUUUAUAGUUCUAUUUCAUUUAUUUUAAUGAUUUUCUUUUAUAUCCCUUUUUCAUUCAAAACUCUCCAUAUAAAUUUAUAUAUCAAAAUGUCUUACUUUUUUUGACAGUGGGGAGGUCGCAAGACGGAGAUGUGAUCAUCUGAAAAUAAAAAUAAAAGUAUUUUAGUAUGUAAAUUUCAAUGUUGGGUAUAAUUGAGAGUUUUAAAUGAAAAAAGAAUAUAAAAAAAAUGAGAUAUUUUUCUUUUAUAUUCUUUUUUCAUUCAAAACUCUCAACUAUACACGCAUUAUAGGCCCUUGAAGUUUCAUUAUAAAAAGCUAGCAGGCCGACAGCUGGAAGAAUUGCCGGUAUGUCAGAAGGCAUCAUCAAAUGCAUUGAGCCUUCUUUGUACAUCCUUGAUUUUCAAAUAUAAGAGUUUCUUUCAUUGUGCAAAGACAUACCAUUCCGUUUCAAUAAGAGCCACUAAAUUUUUUUACCCAA
Molecule: non-coding RNA, 1945 nt
Organism: Cicer arietinum (chickpea)
Lineage: Eukaryota; Viridiplantae; Streptophyta; Magnoliopsida; Fabales; Fabaceae
Source: RefSeq, a predicted model, not a curated record